GUAGUCAUAUGCUUGUCUCAAAGAUUAAGCCAUGCAUGUCUAAGUAUAAGCAAUUACACAGCGAAACUGCGAAUGGCUCAUUAUAUAAGUUAUCGUUUAUUUGAUAGUACCUUACUACUUGGAUAACCGUGGUAAUUCUAGAGCUAAUACAUGCUAAAAAUCCCGACUUCGGAAGGGAUGUAUUUAUUAGAUUAAAAACCAAUGCCCUCCGGGGCUCACUGGUGAUUCAUGAUAACUCCUCGAAUCGCAUGGCCUUGCGCCGGCGAUGGUUCAUUCAAAUUUCUUCCCUAUCAACUUUCGAUGUUUGGGUAUUGGCCAAACAUGGUUGCAACGGGUAACGGGGAAU
RNAcentral lists this ribosomal RNA (346 nucleotides) under uncultured fungus. RNAcentral describes it as "SSU rRNA". It matches the Rfam family "Eukaryotic small subunit ribosomal RNA", at positions 20 to 370 of the family's 1831-position model. The record is from RNAcentral. Lineage: Eukaryota; Fungi.